CUACGGGCUGCACCAGUGAGGAAUAUUGGACAAUGGAGGAAACUCUGAUCCAGCCAUGCCGCGUGUAUGAAGAAGGCCUUAGGGUUGUAAAGUACUUUCAAACGUGAAGAUAAUGACGGUAGCGUUAGAAGAAGCUCCGGCUAAAUUUGUGCCAGCAGCCGCGGUAAUACGAAUGGAGCAAGCGUUGUUGGGAAUCACUGGGCUUAAAGCGUGCGCAGGCGGACAUUCAAGUCAGAAGUGAAAGCCCCGGGCUCAACCCGGGAACUGCUUUUGAAACUAGAUGUCUAGAAUCCGGGAGAGGUCAGUAGAAUUCCCAGUGUAGAGGUGAAAUUCGCAGAGAUUGGGAGGAAUACCAGUGGCGUAGGCGACUGACUGGACCGGUAUUGACGCUCAGGCACGAAAGCGUGGGGAGCAAACAGGAUUAGAUACCCUAGUAGUC
Molecule: ribosomal RNA, 439 nt
Filed under: uncultured bacterium
Lineage: Bacteria
Description: partial 16S ribosomal RNA
Rfam family: Bacterial small subunit ribosomal RNA
Source: RNAcentral